GGCAGUACUACGAGUACCGCUAUGGGAAGAUCUCAUGGUGGAUCCCCCCUGAUCGGGACAUCUUCGAGAUCAGGGAUUUUGAAGAUCCACGGGCGGGUCCCUAUUUGGAGUGCAUUAGGGAACAGAUAAGAGGAGACAUAAGGAUGGCACUCUAUGAUCUGUGGAUGGCCAGGGAUUGUGUGAAGAUCACAAAGUGGUGGCAAUUUCGCCUGAAGGCCGACUUCCGAGGGGACUACAGGUACAUCAAAGCCCACCUAAAGGACCUCUACAAAGACCUAGAGGCUAUCAACAAGGUCAUCCUGACGCGGAACAGCGAGAGAUAUUAAGGUGGCCCUCGGAACUAAAAGGCAAAAGGUGAAAUCCGCCCAGAUCCAUCUUCUCUCCUAUCAACCGCAAUUCCACCAGCGGUGCCUGCACUCCCAUCCACCGUAAUUCCACCAGCGGUGCCUGCACUCCCAUCCACCGUAAUU
Xenopus tropicalis (tropical clawed frog) is the source of this 470-nucleotide long non-coding RNA. RefSeq lists it as uncharacterized. NCBI's taxonomy places the organism in Eukaryota, Metazoa, Chordata, Amphibia, Anura, Pipidae. The record is from RefSeq and is a predicted model, not a curated record. The transcript is spliced from 3 exons.